This 422-nucleotide ribosomal RNA is filed under the name uncultured bacterium. RNAcentral's name for it is "bacterial SSU rRNA". It matches the Rfam family "Bacterial small subunit ribosomal RNA", at positions 358 to 772 of the family's 1533-position model. The record is from RNAcentral.
GGAAUUUUGGACAAUGGGGGCAACCCUGAUCCAGCCAUGCCGCGUGCGGGAAGAAGGCCUUCGGGUUGUAAACCGCUUUUAGUCGGAAAGAAAAGGCACGGGCCAAUACCCCGUGUUCUUGACGGUACCGGCGGAAUAAGCCUCGGCUAACUACGUGCCAGCAGCCGCGGUAAAACGUAGGAGGCGAGCGUUAUCCGGAGUUACUGGGCGUAAAGCGCGUGUAGGUGGUUGGAUACGUCUGCUGUGAAAUGUCCCGGCUUAACCGGGAGGGUGCGGCAGAUACGGUCUGACUAGAGGGCGACAGAGGAGCGUAGAAUUCCGGGUGUAGUGGUGAAAUGCGUAGAGAUCCGGAGGAAUACCAGUGGCGCAAGCGGCGCUCUGGGUCGCAACUGACACUGAGACGCGAAGGCAUGGGGAGCGAA